AUGGAGACCUCGCCACCGCCGUCGCCUUCGCCGGCUAGCUCGCCGGGACGGCCGGCGAAGCCGCGGCUGUUCAUACAGGAGAUGGUUCUCCGCAACUUCAAGUCCUACGCCGGGGAGCAGCGCAUCGGCCCGUUCCACAAGAGCUUUUCGGCUGUUGUUGGGCCAAAUGGAAGUGGGAAGAGCAACGUCAUUGAUGCAAUGCUCUUCGUGUUUGGAAAGCGUGCAAAGCAGAUGCGCCUUAACAAGGUCUCAGAGCUCAUACACAACUCUUCCAAUCACCAGAACUUAGACAGUGCUGGUGUUUCUGUCCAUUUUCAAGAAAUCAUUGAUCUGGAUGGUGGAAACUACAAGGUUGUUGAGGGCAGUGAAUUUUCCAUAACAAGAGUUGCGUUCCGUGACAACACCUCUAGAUAUUACAUAAAUAACCGUGGAAGCAAUUUUACUGAAGUAACAAAAGUGUUGAAGGGCAAAGGAGUGGACCUUGAUAAUAAUCGCUUUCUGAUCCUUCAGGGUGAGGUUGAGCAGAUCUCCCUGAUGAAACCCAAAGCUCAAAGUCCACAUGACGAGGGUUUUCUAGAAUAUCUAGAAGACAUCAUUGGGACAAACCAAUAUGUUGAGAAAAUCGAAGAAGCUAACAAACAGUUGGAAGUGCUCAAUGAAAAGAGAACCGCGUCAGUGCAGAUGCUGAAAUUGGCUGAGAAGGAAAGGGACAGUUUAGAGAAUGCAAAAAAUGAAGCUGAAGCAUACAUGCUGAAGGAACUUUUGCUUUUGAAAUGGCAAGAAAAGGCAACCACAAUGGCUUCUGAUGAUGCUAUAUCACAUGUUACUCAGCUUGAAGAGAAUGUUACGGACCUAGCGAAGAACCUUGCCUCCGAAAGGGAAAAAAUUAAACAGAACUCUCAGGAGCUGAAGGAAAUGGAGAAAGCUUACAACAAGCGUGUCAAAAGGCAAGAGGAACUUGAGAAUAACAUGAAAGCCUGCAAGGAUCAAUUUAAGGAAUUUGAGAGAAAAGAUGUAAAACACAGGGAAGAUUUAAAACAUCUCAAGCAGAAGAUCAAGAAGCUGGAGGACAAAGCUGAAAAGGAUACCUCAAAAAUUGAAGGAUCAGCAAAAGAGAUUGAAGAAUCAUCCAAUCUCAUUCCACAGCUUGAAGAAGAGAUACCAAAAUUGCAAGAACGAUUAAAUCAAGAAGAGAAAGUACUGGAGCGAAUUAAAGAAAGCUCUCNAGAGGAAACUGAAAAGCUACGUGCUGAACUUGCCCAAGUAAGGACUGAGCUUGAACCAUGGGAAAAUCAAAUUAUUGAGCAUAAAGGGAGGCUAGAUGUUGCAUCUGGGGAGAAAAAAUUAAUGAAACAGAAGCAUGAUGGAGCUCGAGCAGAAUUAACUGAUGCCCAAAACCAGAUGGAAAUCAUCAAGGAAAAAAUAAAAACAAAGGACACAUUUAUUACGGAGCUCGAAGGAAAAAUAGAGAAACAUCAGAGUGAAGCAUCUGAAGCUCGUGAAGUUGAACAGGAAUGCCUAAAACAAGAGGAGUCCCUAAUUCCUCUUGAACAAGUAGCUAGGCAGAAAGUUGUGGAGAUUAAAUCGACGAGGGAUUCUGAGAAGAAUCAUGGCACUGUUUUGAAAGCAAUUCUACAAGCUAAAGAAUCAAAGGAAAUAGAAGGCAUUUAUGGAAGGCUAGGUGAUCUUGGUGCAAUUGAUGCAAAAUAUGAUGUUGCCAUAUCGACAGCGUGCCAUGGACUUGAUUAUAUUGUUGUUGAAACAACAAAUUCGGCCCAAGCUUGUGUUGAACUAUUACGCAGAAGAAAUCUUGGGAUUGCUACUUUUAUGAUACUGGAAAAGCAAGCACACCAUCUUCGUAAGCUACAAGAAAAAGUAAAAACCCCUGAAGGAGUUCCACGCCUCUUUGAUCUGGUAAAGGUUAAAGAUGAGAAGCUGAAGUUAGCUUUCUUUGCAACCUUGGGCAAUACUGUUGUUGCAAAGGAUCUUGAUCAGGCCACUCGAAUUGCAUAUACUGCUGAUAAUGAGUUUCGCCGGGUAGUUACCCUCGACGGUGCACUUUUUGAGAAGUCUGGGACCAUGAGCGGUGGUGGCGGCAAACCACGAGGUGGCAAGAUGGGCACAUCCAUCCGAGAAAGUGUUUCAGAAGAGGCUGUUAUGAAUGCUGAAAAUGAUCUCAACAAACUUGUUGACCAACUCAGCAGGCUGCGUGAAAAUAUUAAUGAUGCUAAAAAACGCUACCGGUCCCUGGAAGAUGCUAAAUCUCGACUUGAGAUGGAACUGGCAAAAGCGAAAAAGGAGGUUGAGAGUAUGAAUGCCCAAUACACUUACAAUGAGAAGCGACUAGAUUCACUGGAGGCCGCAGCAAAUCCCAAAGAUGAUGAGAUCAGCAGAAUGAAAGAGCUGGAUGACCUUAUUUCUAAUGAACAAGUUGCACUAAAGAAGCUUGAGAAGAGUUCUAGCAAGCUCAAAGAUCAGGCUUCAGAACUUCAGCAGAAAAUUGAAAAUGCAGGGGGGCAGGUGCUCAAGGAUCAGAAGGCAAAAGUAGAAAAAAUCCAAUCUGAACUUGACAAAACUAGCUCAGACAUCAAUCGCCACAAAGUUAAAAUAACUACAUGUGAAAAGUUGAUGAAAAAGUUAGCCAAGGGUGUUGAGGAGGCCAAAAAAGAAAUGGAAAAUCUGCUUGCUCAAAAGGAGAAGUUAAUGUCCGUUUUCAAAGAGAUUGAGAAGAAGGCUUUUCUGGUUCAAGAAGAUUAUAAGAAGACCCAGGAGAUGAUGGACACCCAUAAAGAGGAGCUUGACAAGACAAAGGAAGACUACAAUAAAACAAAGAAAGUGGUGGAUGAACUAAGAGCCACUGAGGUUGAUGCAGAGUACAAACUGCAAGAUACAAAAAAGCUUGCCAAGGAGUGGGAAAUGAAGGUGAAGGCAUAUAAGAAAAGGCUAGCUGACAUUCAGACAAAUCUUGCCAAACACAUGGAUCAACUCCAGAAGGAUGCGAUUGAUCCUGAGAAACUUAAAGAAACACUUAGCGAUGAGCAUCUCAAUGAAAUGUGUGACCUGAAAAAAGCCAUGGAGAUGGUGGCAUUGCUGGAAGCGCAGAUUAAAGACUCGAGUCCAAAUCUGGAUUCAAUAGCAGAGUAUCGCACGAAGGCUCGUUUAUAUGGCGAACGUGUUGAUGAACUAAAUGCUACCACUCAGGAGCGUGAUGAUCUUAAGAAGCUAUAUGAUGGACUGAGGAAGAGAAGGUUAGAUGAGUUCAUGGCAGGGUUCAACUUGAUCUCUCUGAAACUGAAAGAGAUGUACCAGAUGAUUACACUUGGAGGAGAUGCGGAGCUGGAACUUGUUGAUUCGUUGGAUCCAUUUUCAGAAGGUGUUGUUUUCAGCGUAAGGCCUCCCAAGAAAAGCUGGAAGAACAUUGCCAACCUAUCUGGUGGCGAGAAGACGCUUAGCUCCCUGGCUCUAGUGUUUGCUCUUCACCAUUAUAAACCAACUCCAUUGUAUGUUAUGGACGAGAUAGAUGCAGCAUUGGAUUUUAAGAAUGUAUCCAUUGUCGGACAUUAUGUGAAAGAUCGUACCAAGGAUGCCCAGUUCAUUAUUAUUAGUCUCAGAAACAACAUGUUUGAACUAGCUGAUAGGCUGGUUGGCAUCUACAAGACUGAUAAUUGCACCAAGAGUAUAACUAUCAACCCUGGAAGCUUUGCCGAGGGCACGAAACCAACAACCCUCGAAGCUUCGCCGAGAGCAUGA
RNAcentral lists this ribosomal RNA (3750 nucleotides) under Triticum aestivum (bread wheat). RNAcentral describes it as "partial small subunit ribosomal RNA". The record is from RNAcentral. Lineage: Eukaryota; Viridiplantae; Streptophyta; Magnoliopsida; Poales; Poaceae.